This is a long non-coding RNA of Triticum aestivum (bread wheat), 4495 nucleotides long. RefSeq lists it as uncharacterized. The record is from RefSeq and is a predicted model, not a curated record. The transcript has 7 exons. NCBI's taxonomy places the organism in Eukaryota, Viridiplantae, Streptophyta, Magnoliopsida, Poales, Poaceae.
GCUAGGUCUCCUGCCCUCGAACGAGAAACACUCGCACGCACGAAUCUCUGCCCUCGUUCUCCCUCCCCCGCCCUUCGUCCCUUUGCCGAACCCUAGAAGCGGAGGAGCAGUGGCGGUGGUGAACCCGAGAACCCUAGAAGCAGAGGGAUCGGGGGAGGAGAUGGGGGGCGGGUAGCGCCGGGAGCCGGGGAGGAGGUGGGGGGCUGAAGCUCCCACCAUUCACCCCCACCUCAGGAGUGCCUCGUUGGAUCUGGUAGCGGCCGACCGGCCAUACUCGUCGGAUGCCUCGGUAGGGGCGUCUCCGCUUCCUAGAUCUGGGUCGGAGACUUUGACGCAGAGGCCCGCAAGGGAGAAGCAGAGGGUGGAGGAGGAGCGGAGUCCAUGGAGGAAAGCAGGUGGCGGCUCCAGGUAGGUGCUCAGCUUGCCCUACUGUGUAGUUCAGCGCAUCACCGUAGGGAUAGGAGCGACACCACCGUCUCCAGGUACGUCCUCGACCAGGUCGUGCUCGGGCUGCCCUCGGUCAUGAUCUCGUGGUUGAAUGCCUUCCGAGGUCUCCCUGAGGUCUGAUCUGAUGCCCUUGUUGAACCCAUCCCUUACUCUCCGCCAGCUGGGUCUCAUGAUUCGGUGCUGAUGCUUGCUACCAUAGUGUGCUUCAGGAGAUCAACAGCAUGCUGGGAUGGAAGCAACUAAAAGCAUCAGUUUUGCCAUUACACGACCACAUGCAAAAGUAGCACAUCAUCAACACAUACGAAAUCCAUUAAUUUGCAAUUCUUCAGUUGACGCACUUGAACAAAAGCAUCAGUUUUCUACAUUGUGACGAUCACAAGCAUCUAAUUAUGCUUCUCAAAGUCUUUAAUCACGUGAUGCAUCCUUGAAAUCAGGUUGUUCUCCACCAUUGAGUAUCAUACUAAACUUAGUACAAUUUUAUACUAAACUUGGUACAAAGUUGAGACAUUUAUUUUGAGACGGAGGGAGUACAUGAUACAUCAAUGUGUUAGGUAUAAAUUGCCUGCACUAAAACAUGUACGACAACCAAACUGCCACAUUCAUUCAGUACAACUCAUCCUGCUUCAGCAUCGAAGUCUUGAGGGGCUAUGAGAGCAGAGGUAGCAAAGUCGUCGUGACAUUAAGGCAGAGUGAGGACAUAAUUAGCUCAUUAGCGUUUAAGUGUUGGUUUGAUAUACAACCUUUGAUCUGUGUGGUUUGUUAUAGAUCUAAUGACCCAUGAAGAAAGUUUUCACUUGAUACUUUCUCUAUGCAAGUUUUUAUCUAAUUGUUGCAUUUCUCAUAGUGUUAUAGGGGUAUUUUGUAACCUGGAGCAAUCAGACACACUUUCUAUCCGAAAAUGAAAUCUGAACAUGUAUUGUAGUGAAGUUAAACAAUGCAUGUAGCUUAGUUUUAAUAUGUUAACUAAUGUACCUACUUACAGUGAUCUUUUAACUCAAUAAGAAUUACAAAAAUUUGCUUGGCGAACGCCUCGUGUCACUUGGCAUCAAAGAGCCAAAGCUGCUUGAAAAGCAACUUGAUUCAUCCUCAAGGUACAUAAGAUCCACAAGACUAAUUGAUUUCUUUCCGUACAAUCAUGAUUUAGAAGAAGGAGCACUAGCUCUUUUAUUAUCUAUAGAAAACGGUACAAAUUGUUACUUUGUCCUGCCUAUUUCUACUUUGUUAAUCAUAGGCAAUAUUAUGCUGUUAGAUGCAGGGUUUCAUGAUCACUUUUGACCAGUGUUGUAGGUAGAUUACACCUAUUUUUGUCUUGGCUCGUUUUUAAGUAAAAUUGAGCAAGGUGUGUGCCCUAUUCAAACAAUAAACAAAACAGAGUCUCCUCAUGCUGCAAAUAUAGCUUAGUUUUUUUUCAAUGAAAACACAUCUCAGGUAAGUGAGCUGCUUUGUACACUACAUCUCUAUUGAAUUAUAUGUAGUUUUUAGCUUCAUGUCUUUGAUUUAACGUCAUUAUUCUAGGACUGGAAAAUUUUGCAUUAGACGUAUUGAUUCCGUAAUGCAAUUAAUGCAUCGUAAAAGCUAGGGAUAAUUUGGUUGUGUCGUCCUCGAUAUGUUACGACACAAAAUGUUGAUCAUUUUCAUGAUUGCAGACACAACAGAUGCUUCUUCAUCUCACUGGUCUCUAGAGGACGGAAGAGAUCUUGUCUGAAGCAAAUGAGUGCCUUAGAAGAAAAGAAAAUGAGGAGUUCAAUUGUUUCCCCAAAUUUCCUUCCACGAUUUUGUAACCCUUUGCAGAAUCGGAUGGGGAGGUUCGCAACAUUGUCUACUCAGGAAAUCAAUAUAUAUUGUCUAUCAUGUGACUAUGGAACUGAUGCAGAGUACCCUUCUUUGCAUGGGAGUUAUAUGUGGUUCAGUUUGCACAAUCUUGUUUGGUUUUACAUUGAUCUUAUUGCAUGCUCAGUUUUUGGGCGUAUAACCAGUUUAUAGGUCCUACUAUUUGAUCUGUGGACGUGACCAAUGAGGGCAUGGAGAUUAUGGCGAGGCAUGGUGAUGCGGUGGCAGUGGUGAAGGUAACCACAUCGAAGGCAGCGACAAUGGGUGGUUGUUGAUGAAAGCAGCAUGGGGAUGGGGGAGGUGGAGAGGCGAGGGAUGGAGGCGGAGGACGGCAGCCAGGGAGAUGGAGUGGCAUUGAGAUUGGACGAGCUCGCCUGUGGAGUGUGUGUGCAGGAUUUCCUUUCCGGGUUGGACGGGGGCUUCUUUGUUUGUGUGUGUGUGCAUGUGUGAGUUCACACCGAUACUCGACCAAAUACUGUGCAUGGUUAUCUAAAAUUCUAGAAAAUAGUUCACAUCCCAGUGGCAGAAGUUGAUGCUCCAUCUUGUUAUUCAUUUCCUGGGAUCAUUUCUCGAGGAAUGUACGGAUUUCUCAAAGUGACGCAAUGCUAUGAUCUUCAACCAUGAAAACGAAACUGUCAGCGCUGAUGGCCUGCUCCUGUGAUCUCAUAGCAUUGUGUCAAGGAGCAGGUGGAGAGGGAGAAAGAGAAAGGGAGAAUGGAAGCCAAGUGAUAGACAAAGAGAGUGAAAGGUAUUUGGUUCAAAAUAUAUUUUUCUACUGUUAACCGAUAGCAUGGAUAUCACUAUUUAUCAUCAUGAUGUCCAUAAGAAAUCAUCAUGACAUGUCGAAUCCUCAACCACUCAGUUAGAUGUUGAUGGAUCUGCAUCACAGCUUCUGUUGAAUUCUCAUGGUUGGAGAUACUGCAAGAAUUCUGAUUCGGCACGGCCCUCAUGGAGACAAUGGAGAUGGUGUUCAACGGUGCGCUCAGCCAGAGUUCGCUUCUCCUGCAAUACGUCCGACAUUUGCUGAUUCGGUAGGGCCCUCAUGGAAACAAAUCCAUGAAAGACGCAUUGGAGCACCAGGUCAAGAGCAAGGCCUUUUUCAAGAUACUAACCUAAAUGCUGAAAUACUUCGUUGUUGCCACUUUUAGUGUAGCUGUACUGAUGCAGAUAAGCUAAAAAUCUCUCUUGCCUUCUCUUUGAUGCCCUGAUGACUUGUGUGCUUAAUUAUUAAGUAAAUUACAUUAUGGCGCAUGUUAUUUCCCAUGUCUCCAUAGGGCAGUAUUCUUUUGGCACAUGCAUAGGGGUGCUUUGUAUCGGUACGUAACUUCAUGCUGAAAACAAGUGCAACAUGUUUUCUUUGUAGCUCAGAAGUAUUAACAAGAUAUGAAGAAUUAACAUGUUACUUUCUUUGCAAAGGAAUUGGCCAGAUAGUAUUUUACUAAAUAACUAUGGACUAGCUACUAUUUUUACAGUGGGUUGCUUAUUGGACUAGGGACGUGUGAUAUCUUUCUCCCAUUGCAAAGCUAAACCACGUCGUGUCAUCUUUGUAGUUUACAUAUUUUUUAGAUGUGUUGGCACACAUUUUGAGGCAUCAUUUUCUUUGAAGUCGUUCAUCAUCAUUGGUCCCAUUCUGCACAAGACUAUCGAUGAUACCACUCUGCAUUGGACCUACACAAUCAUCAAUUUUACCAAUGUCACAAAUGGUCUGUCUUGUAAUGUGACAUUAUGGCUAACUGUUUGGUUUAAAUUAUGGCUGGUAGCUGUCCUUCGAUGCUGUAAAUUUUGUUAACCUAACUCCCUGCUAUAUGCACAGUUCAGGGCGCAGAGAAACUAAUGGAGCAACCAGGAGUCCAAUCAGUUCAGGGCACAGAACAUUGAACAUAUCAGUGAUCGGACACUCGAGACAAAUCUUAAUGAGUUCUAGCAACCGAAGACAGAAUAUUUGCGUAGGAUGCAACAAAGUUGCAUGUCAUGAGAUUAUUGAAUGCGUUGAGUAAUUUGGAAUGGAAACAUUUUUGGUUAAAUAGGAUGCUCUUGAGAUUAUUUCUCAUGCCAACAUGGCAUGCCCGAGCGAAAAAUGUGCCACCCUUUGACAGGACCAUGCCUUGUUAGAGGAGGUUUCUGGUUGGAUAAAUGAGAAGGCCAUGAUGCCUAUUUGGGCUAAGAUGACUCCUAACAUUGUAGGUAUUACAGAUGGAUCUUAAGCUUCCAUAAUGCA